GACGAACGCUGGCGGCGUGCUUAACACAUGCAAGUCGAACGGAAAGGCCUGCUUUCCCUUGUGGAUUGCGGGUACUCGAGUGGCGAACGGGUGAGUAACACGUGAGUGAUCUGCCCCCAACUUGGGUAUAAGCCUGGGAAACUGGGUCUAAUUCCCGAUAGGACUGCAGGGUGGUGCCUGUGGUGGAAAACGAUUUUCUAGUGGUUGGGGAUGAGCUCGCGGCCUAUCAGCUUGUUGGUGGGGUAAUGGCCUACCAAGGCGGCGACGGGUAGCCGGCCUGAGAGGGUGGACGGCCACAUUGGGACUGAGAUACGGCCCAGACUCCUACGGGAGGCAGCAGUGGGGAAUAUUGCACAAUGGGCGGAAGCCUGAUGCAGCGACGCCGCGUGGGGAUGACGGCCUUCGGGUUGUAAACUCCUUUCGACCGCGAGGAAGCCACCUGGUUGGAAGGGUGGUGACGGUAGUGGUAGAAGAAGCACCGGCUAACUACGUG
Molecule: ribosomal RNA, 493 nt
Filed under: uncultured bacterium
Lineage: Bacteria
Description: partial 16S ribosomal RNA
Rfam family: Bacterial small subunit ribosomal RNA
Source: RNAcentral